Molecule: long non-coding RNA, 1557 nt
Organism: Sander lucioperca (pikeperch)
Lineage: Eukaryota; Metazoa; Chordata; Actinopteri; Perciformes; Percidae
Exons: 7
Source: RefSeq, a predicted model, not a curated record
CUGGAAGUAUCACUGAUGACUUGGAUGUUGGGGUCAAAGCAUACCCACCUCCUCAACAUUCAACAUAGAGUACACUGGUAUGUUGAUUGGAGAUGAGCAACCUAUUCUUGUUGUAUACAGUUGGCUUUGGAAUCUUAAAAUGUCUGUAUAAAGAGUACAGAGAGCAGCAGAAGUGAGUAACUCUGAGAGUGAUUGUGAUUUCAAAAGGCAGUGAAACUGGUUCACCCAAUGGGUGUGAGAAAGAAAAAUGUACUGAAUGAUUACUAUGAUUGUGCCAAGCCCAACAGUCAAGAGGCAAGGUUGACAGACAAACACUGACAAUACCAAUGGGGCUUCUGUACAAGACAUGUAUGGACCAAAUGGAAUGGAAUACAAGAUUGCAUACCACAGUUCUUUCAAGUAUGUUUGAGAGGGGAUUGCUAUGGGUUACCUGAAAUUCAACACCUCAGUACUUGACUGCAUCUUCCAUGAAACCAUCGUAUGUCCGGACAAUACUCCAAUACUCAGAAGGUGACAAUGCAACAGUAUCUGUAGACAUUUGUGCAAGUCAUGGCAACAAAACAGUGGUAUUGAAGACCAACUCAGCUAACAUGAAACAGGACAAGGAUUAAUUGUACAAGAGAUACAAGUCAACAUCUCAGGUUCGAAUCAUACAUCCCGAGGAGUGGUCUCUUCCAGUCCAGUGUGAGACCAACCCUACUGGUUUGAAUGGAGUUGUGGUGUAUGAUGAUCUAACUUAUGCCGUACCUUCUGUUGACAACCAGCAGCCUAUAGAUCGAGCCCCGUCUUUGGACAACUCAACCGGUGUGAGUGGAGGAUUGGAGCAGCAGUGGAGCUCAGAAGAAACACAUCACCAGGAGGAGAACCUAAUGUUUCAGCCCCAUGAAGACUCAACGUCUGGUGGGAGACAUCUGAGACAUUGUCCUUUCUGUCAUAGUGAGACCACACACAGAGUGCCCGUCAACUGGUGGAGUCAGAAUGGUCCAUGGCUGGUGAUGGCACUCGCUGGUUCUAUUUUGUGGGUUUUCUUUUUGAACUGGGGCCAUGAUUAAGAGGGACGGCCGGGGGCAUUCGUAUUGUGCAGCUAGAGGUGAAAUUCUUGGACCGGCGCAAGACGGACGAAAGCGAAAGCAUUUGCCAAGAAUGUUUUCAUUAAUCAAGAAUGAAAGUCGGAGGUUCGAAGACGAUCAGAUACCGUCGUAGUUCCGACCAUAAACGAUGCCAACUAGUGAUCCAGGUCCGGGAAACCCAAGUCUUUGGGUUCCGGGAGGAGUAUGGUUGCAAAGCUGAAACUUAAAGGAAUUGACGAAAGGGCACCACCAGGAGUGGAGCCUACGGCUUAAUUUGACUCAACACGUGGUGCGAUGCUCUCUCUGUUAGGCACAAUGCUUGUUUUCUCAAAAGAAAAAUCAUUUUGAAAUGUCUUUCGUCGUGUCAUGUUGUCCUUUUUGUCACAAUGGGGUUAGGAAUGGAGGGGGAGGAUAUUGUAUAUUCUACAUUAUUAUUAACUCAUAUUUAAAUUUUAUUUUUAGCCUUCCUUUGUGACAUUUAUUACAU